This 305-nucleotide ribosomal RNA is filed under the name uncultured bacterium. Its description in RNAcentral is "bacterial SSU rRNA". It matches the Rfam family "Bacterial small subunit ribosomal RNA", at positions 337 to 640 of the family's 1533-position model. The record is from RNAcentral.
ACCUACGGGACGCAGCAGUGAGGAAUAUUGGUCAAUGGUCGGGAGACUGAACCAGCCAAGCCGCGUGAGGGAUGAAGGUACAGAGUAUCGUAAACCUCUUUUGUCAGGGAACAAAGGCGGGGACGUGUCCCCGGAUGAGUGUACCUGAAGAAAAAGCAUCGGCUAACUCCGUGCCAGCAGCCGCGGUAAUACGGAGGAUGCGAGCGUUAUCCGGAUUUAUUGGGUUUAAAGGGUGCGUAGGCGGAAGGUUAAGUCAGCGGUCAAAUGUCGGUGCUCAACACCGGCCUGCCGUUGAAACUGGUCUU